GUCAAAACUUCUUCUUCUUUUGUUUAUGAUUUGAAAACAUGGUGCACGGUCUGAAAAUUUCAUUUAAUGUCGUCUAAUAUAUUUAUUUGGUUCCGAUGUGUAUUUACGUGCUGCUGUAGAAGGGAGUUCCUCAUCCUGGGCUUCAGUGGAAUGUUCGUGCCCAGCGGAAACUGGGAAAUAUCUUCACCGAAAGCCGAUAUUCGUCGUUAGAAAUGGUGGGCUCAGGUCGGACGAGUGCUGGAAGCUCGUGCCGCGUCCCAGGGCAUGGUGGGCCAGAAUGACACCCUGCGGGCUGCCGGCCUGGUGGUGCAGAUUGCGCAUGAAGGGAAGAUUGCCGGGCGGUGUAUUCUGUUGGCCGGAGAGCCUAAAUCGGGAAAAACGGCCAUUAUUGUGAGGAUGGCACAGGCGCUUGGCAACGAAACACCCUUUACGAGGAUAUCCGGUUCGGAGAUCCAUUGCGCAAAGGUUUCAACGUUAGUUCCCAUCGAGGAGGAGACAGAAAUCAUCAAGGAUAAAGUUGUGGAAAUUCAGAUCGAUCGUCCGGCUUCCGGCACGGGGCAGAAGGUUGGCAAUUAAGAUCACGUAUAUAGAGACAAACUAUUAUCUCGGAAACAAGAUCGUCCAGUACAGUACUUUAUGAAGGAGCAGAUUCAAGCUGAGGAUGUCAUUACGAUUGAUAAGGCUUCCGGGAAAGUCAGGAAUCUGGGACGGGCAAGGGAUUACGAUGCCACAUGAGCUCAAACGAGAUUCGUCCAGUGCCCGGAAGCAGCUGCAGAAACGCAAGGAAGUGAUUCACACGGCCACGCUUCACGAAAACGAUGUAAUCAAUAGCAGGACACACGGAUUCUUGGCGCUGUUUGCAGGUUACACCGGUGAGAUCAAACAGGAAGUCCUCGAUCAGAUCAUGGAAUGGCGCAAAGUGGGUAAAGCGGAAGCCAAUCCCGGAGUGUUGUUCAUCGACGAGGCCCAUAUGUUGGAUAUCGAAUGCUUUUCCUUCCUGAGCAGAGCCUUGGCAAGCGAUAUGGCCCCGGUCGUAAUCAUGGCCAUCAAUCGAGGCAUUAUCAAAACCCGUGGGACCAACUGUCGCAGCCUGCCCGGAAUCCUAAUCGAUCUGCUCGAUCGAAUGAUCAUCAUUCGAACGGUUCCCUACUCAGCGAAGGAAAUCAAAAAAGUUCUAAACUGCCUCUUUUCGCUUAACAGUCCCAUGUGAUAGGAAACCCAGCAAAGAUGGGACUGUUAUGCGAAUAGGGGCAGUAAAUGGUUGGUUAUUGGAAGGAUUACAUACCAGUUUGUGCUACGCUAUUCAAUCGGCUUGGUCAACUAGAGGCGCAAGGCGGCCACAGAAGAGGUAUUCCCUGUUUCUGGACGAAAAGCGUUCCAGCAUGAUCAUGAAAAAGAACCAGGACGAGUGCUAUUCUACGACGACAGCUUGUUACAGGUGGAACAACAGGCAAUGGAAGUAUGAGACCUACUGACUAAUCAACCGUUGUAUAAGCCAUUCCUGACAACCAUGGACAUUCAUCAAUCACUCCGGGAUCAAAUCAACUGCCAGCUCAACGAUAUUUCUUGGAGAACUAAUCCGUCGUCGAACAAAAAUCUCGCUAUCGUUACAUCCAGAGUUCCUACCUACGCCAUAAUUUCAAAUGUUGUUACUAUAAUCAUACGUGUGUAAAUGUUUUAGAAUAUUCAAUAAAUAAAAUGGGGCGUUGGGGUCUUCAGGCGAUUUUGCUGUAACAUAUCCGACAAAAGCCAAACAAAAUAACGACUUGAGCUAAGUCCUAAAGCAGAGGUUUGGUCUAAUAGGUUUAAACACGUCCUCCCGAAUUGCUUGGUCAUGCAAGAAAUUUACUAUUAAAACAGUUCACUUCUGGAGCUGUUCCAGAUGUCUCAGUAGAUUUGAUCGAUCUAAUUAGAAUAUCUAAAUUCGUUGCAGAUGUUUAGACAGAUGUGUUGGUUCACUAAGUCCUCCCAAAUUGCAUAGUGAUGCAAAAAUUAUCAGUCUUUAAUACUGACCACCUUUACCAAGAAUAUCUAAACUCGUUGCAGAGGUUUAGACAGAUUUGCUGGUUCACUAAGUUCCCCUAAAUUGCAAAGUGAUGCAAACAUUACCAGUCUUUGAUACUGACCACCUUUACCAAGAAUAUCUAAAUUCGUUUCAGAGGUUUAGACAGAUUUGCUGGUUCACUAAGUCCUCCCAAAUUGCAUAGUGAUGCAAAAAUUAUCAGUCUUUGAUACUGACCACCUUUACCAAGAAUAGGGUAAUUCUCGCUGAGACCGGCCCACUAUUUACACCUUGUCUUCAAAAAUGUUUAAGGUGCCGAUUUUCUGAAAGCCCUCGCCUAAAAAGUAAGAAAAAUGCAUUUGGUUACUCAAAUUGAUGGACCCCCCGUUAGUUAGAGCCACAACAAUUUUUGCAGACCCCUCGAUUUUGGUCAAAUGGUGGCUCACUAAAACCGUUAUAACUCGAAAGUUUCACCAAAAACCACCUCAAAACGAAAUGUUGUUGAAAAGAGGAGAGAUAGAGCUACUAUUUACAAUAAUAAAAAGUUGGGUCGGCCAUAUUGAUUUUGGCCACCAUCUUGGAUUUUUAUACAAAAACAUUUUUUUCACCAUGAGGGCAACCACCGAUUUUCGAAAUUUUUGCAUCAAUUGAAAGCUGGGACAUUUAUACAUAACAUAUCAAAAAAUUAGAGAUGUCUUUUUCUUCUUUUAAAAGUUAUCUACAGUUUUGUAAAUUGAGCCACGUUUUCUCCAUACAUUUCCAUGCGCGCCGGCAAAGACCUGCAACAGCAACCGAGUUUACGCCUGCAUGUAUACACAAAGGCACGUGCUGCAAAAUUUGGCCAAAUCGGAGGUUCGUUUCCGUUUUUGACUGUUUCUCAAUGAUGUGGGCAUUGUUUUUAUAACUUUUUUAGUGUUUUGAAAAGCUUAAACCUUCAACUUUCCAUUUGUGGGUUCAGAAUUUUAAUUCUUGUUCGUUAACACUGCGAAAAAACGCUGCAUUUAUGUAAACGGUCGGCACCGGGCCCAGUGCGCAAAAGUGGCAUGAUUUACGAAACGGCAGAUAACUUUUGAAAGAAGAAAAAGACAUCUCUAAUUUUUUUAUAUGUUAUGUAUAAAUAUCCCAGCUUUCAAUUGAUGCAAAAAUUUCGAAAAUCGGUGGUUGCCCUCAUGGUGAAAAAAAUGUUUUUGUAUAAAAAUCCAAGAUGGCGGCCAAAAUCAAUAUGGCCGACCCAACUUUUUAUUAUUGUAAAUAGUAGCUCUAUCUCUCCUCUUUUCAACAACAUUUUGUUUUGAGGUGGUUUUCGGUGAAACUUUGGAGUUAUAACGGUUUUAGUGAGCCACCAUUUGACCAAAAUCGAGGGGUCUGCAAAAAUUGUUGUGGCUCUAACUAACGGGGGGGUCCAUCAAUUUGAGUAACCAAAUGCAUUUUUCUUACUUUUUAGGCGAGGGCUUUCAGAAAAUCGGCACCUUAAACAUUUUUGAAGACAAGGUGUAAAUAGUGGGCCGGUCUCAGCGAGAAUUACCCAAU
This is a long non-coding RNA of Aedes albopictus (Asian tiger mosquito), 3532 nucleotides long. RefSeq lists it as uncharacterized. The record is from RefSeq and is a predicted model, not a curated record. NCBI's taxonomy places the organism in Eukaryota, Metazoa, Arthropoda, Insecta, Diptera, Culicidae. The transcript is spliced from 3 exons.